UAGCUACAGUAACAGUUAUAGUAGUAGUAGUGACGCUUCAAACUUUGUUGCUACCCCUCUAGCUUAAUUUGUGGAUGCUCCGUCUAGCAUAAAGUUUUGCCAUUUAGAAAUCAGAGUCAGGUGACAUGGUAAGAGAAAGUCUGUGUCUGUAGGAGGUGAUGGGUGAAACUAACCCAGGACUGUCACACAGGAGACUGCUGUUCAUGUUCUAUUUUAUUUUUAAAACGGCUUUCAAAACUAGAGUUACAAGCAGGGGCGGAGCCAGGGGGUGGCCAACCCCCCGGCCCCCCCACCACCGCUUUGCCGGCAACUUUUUUGCGGAACCAUUUCUGUACACAGGUGUUCCCAUAUGGACGCAUGUCAACAGCACACCCCAACAAGUACUUCUCCACCCAAACUGAAGGUGGCGGUAAUACACUCAAUUACACACACAAUCACAGAAGAAGAAGAAGUAGCGUUGUUGUUCGCGUGUGCUCCAAGCGACUUUGCGCGUGCAGUAGGAGGACUGUCUGUUUCCCGCCGACAGAGAAGAGGCAAAAUGAAGAGGAAAACUACUUCCUACUUUGUCAGUCAGUGUAGUAAGCCGAGUAAUGAGAGGAGGGAAAGUGGUGUGGAGAAGGAGAUGCAGGAUGACAGUGAUGAGACAGAGUCAGACAUUGAAGGAGAGCGCUCAUCUGUUGCUCUUCAUGGAAGUGAACAUACAGAUGAUCGACCUGCCAAUUCAGAUAGUGACAGUGAUGGUGGAGUAGAUCCCCCACAGUGUGCUCUGCAAGACUUCAUACGGAUCAAGGGCACAGCAGUGCAGUUGGGCUUUCAGUGAAAUGCCCAGACCACAGUGGACCGCCAGACAUCUCCAGGUCUCGAGCUGAAGGUCCAGUCCAGCCACAGCUUGCCGUGUUUCCAAAGACUGCCAUGGGGGACAGACAAAGAAACUUCCAGGCCUCGUGGUAUUCCCAUCAUAUAUGGAUCGAAUAUUCUCAGUGCAAGGAUGCUUUUUAUUGUUAUGCCUGCAGGAACUUUGGCCUUCCAAACACUGAAUCAGUUUUCACUUCUGAUAGGGGCUAUAAAAACUGGAAAAAGGCUAUGUUCAAAGAUGGAGGCUUUACAUCCCAUGCUAAGUCUGAAGCACACAUCAAUGCUAUGUUAGCCCGGAAAAAUUUUGAGACACAAUUAAAAAAAAUUUGAGACA
This 1189-nucleotide long non-coding RNA is filed under the name Dicentrarchus labrax (European seabass). RNAcentral's name for it is "lncRNA (ENSDLAG00005031574.1)". Lineage: Eukaryota; Metazoa; Chordata; Actinopteri; Moronidae. The record is from RNAcentral.